AUUGCUUCUCGGCCUUUUGGCUAAGAUGAAGUUUAGUAUUUGUUCUUAUCAGUUUUACAAAGAAGAGCUGAAAUUUAUCAGAGGAAGACUGAAGAGAUCACUA
This 103-nucleotide small nuclear RNA is filed under the name Fukomys damarensis (Damara mole-rat). RNAcentral's name for it is "U2 spliceosomal RNA". It matches the Rfam family "U2 spliceosomal RNA". Rfam says of the family: U2 is a small nuclear RNA (snRNA) component of the spliceosome (involved in pre-mRNA splicing). Complementary binding between U2 snRNA (in an area lying towards the 5' end but 3' to hairpin I) and the branchpoint sequence (BPS) of the intron results the bulging out of an unpaired adenosine, on the BPS, which initiates a nucleophilic attack at the intronic 5' splice site, thus starting the first of two transesterification reactions that mediate splicing. The record is from Rfam by way of RNAcentral. Lineage: Eukaryota; Metazoa; Chordata; Mammalia; Rodentia; Bathyergidae.